RNAcentral lists this ribosomal RNA (253 nucleotides) under uncultured bacterium. RNAcentral's name for it is "partial 16S ribosomal RNA". It matches the Rfam family "Bacterial small subunit ribosomal RNA", at positions 524 to 776 of the family's 1533-position model. The record is from RNAcentral.
UACGUAGGGACCAAGCGUUGUUCGGAUUUACUGGGCGUAAAGGGCGCGUAGGCGGCAUAUUAAGUCAGCUGUGAAAUCUCCGAGCUUAACUCGGAACGGUCAGCUGAUACUGAUGUGCUAGAGUGCGGAAGGGGCAAUCGGAAUUCUUGGUGUAGCGGUGAAAUGCGUAGAUAUCGAGAGGAACACCUGCGGCGAAGGCGGGUUGCUGGGCCGACACUGACGCUGAUGCGCGAAAGCCAGGGGAGCGAACGGG